CAAGAUAAGAAGCAAAUCAUGGAGAGUAUACUUCAAGUGGUUGAAGAGGAUGAUGAGAGGUUUCUUCUUAGGCUCAGGGAAAGAACAGAUAGGGUGGGAAUUGAGAUUCCUAAGAUUGAAGUCCGGUUCGAGCAUUUGUCUAUAGAAGGAGAUGCAUAUGUAGGAACCAGAGCUCUUCCAACCCUGGCGAAUGCUGCUAUGAACACAAUAGAGGGAAUUCUUGGAUCACUUAGAAUUGUCCCAUCUAAGAAGAGAGUUG
RNAcentral lists this unclassified non-coding RNA (259 nucleotides) under Hevea brasiliensis (rubber tree). The record is from RNAcentral. Lineage: Eukaryota; Viridiplantae; Streptophyta; Magnoliopsida; Malpighiales; Euphorbiaceae.